GACGAACCGUGCGAACGUUAUUCGGAAUCACUGGGCUUAAAGGGCGCGUAGGCGGGCCAAAAAGCCAAGGGUGAAAGCCUCCAGCUCAACUGGAGAAGCGCCUUUGGAACUGGUGGCCUAGAGGGGUGCAGGGGCAUGCGGAACUCAGGGUGGAGCGGUGAAAUGCGUAGAUAUCCUGAGGAACACCGGUGGCGAAAGCGGCGUGCUGGACACCUUCUGACGCUGAGGCGCGAAAGCCAGGGGAGCGAACGGG
This 253-nucleotide ribosomal RNA is filed under the name uncultured bacterium. Its description in RNAcentral is "partial 16S ribosomal RNA". It matches the Rfam family "Bacterial small subunit ribosomal RNA", at positions 524 to 776 of the family's 1533-position model. The record is from RNAcentral.